This 446-nucleotide ribosomal RNA is filed under the name uncultured bacterium. RNAcentral's name for it is "partial 16S ribosomal RNA". It matches the Rfam family "Bacterial small subunit ribosomal RNA", at positions 338 to 795 of the family's 1533-position model. The record is from RNAcentral.
CCUACGGGAGGCAGCAGUCGAGAAUUAUUCACAAUGGGGGAAACCCUGAUGGUGCGACGCCGCGUGGGGGAAUGAAGGUCUUCGGAUUGUAAACCCCUGUCAUGUGGGAGCAAAUUAAAAAGAUAGUACCACAAGAGGAAGAGACGGCUAACUCUGUGCCAGCAGCCGCGGUAAUACGGAGGGUGCAAGCGUUGUCCGGAAUCAUUGGGCGUAAAGAGUUCGUAGGCGGUAUGUUAAGUCUGGUGUUAAAUGCAGAAGCUCAACUUCUGUUCGGCACUGGAUACUGGCAAACUAGAAUGCGGUAGAGGUAAAGGGAAUUCCUGGUGUAGCGGUGAAAUGCUUAGAGAUCAGGAGGAACAUCGGUGGCGUAAGCGCUUUACUGGGCCGUAAUUGACGCUGAGGAACGAAAGCCAGGGUAGCAAAUGGGAUUAGAUACCCGAGUAGUC